UGUCUUCAACCUCCUGCUACUUCUUAGAA
Molecule: non-coding RNA, 29 nt
Filed under: Mus musculus (house mouse)
Lineage: Eukaryota; Metazoa; Chordata; Mammalia; Rodentia; Muridae
Source: RNAcentral